This is a non-coding RNA of Rattus norvegicus (Norway rat), 6895 nucleotides long. NCBI's taxonomy places the organism in Eukaryota, Metazoa, Chordata, Mammalia, Rodentia, Muridae. The record is from RefSeq and is a predicted model, not a curated record.
UUAAUUGGCCAUCUCUUAUAUAUUAUUUGAUCUUUUUCUAUUGUAGCUUUUAAUAUUCUUUCUUUGUUCUGUAUGUUUACUAUUUUGAUUGUAUAUAAUGGGGAUUUCCUCUGUGUUUAGGUUUUUUUUGUUUUGUUUUUUGUUUUGUGUGUGUGUGUGUGUGUGUGUGUGUGUGUGUGUGUGUGUGUGUGUUCUUUAUGCCUCCAUGCCUCCUGUACCUGAACAGGCAUUUCCUUCUUUAGGUUAGAAAAUUUUUCUGUGAUUUUGUUGAAAAUAUCUUGUGUGCCUUUGACCUGAGUUUCCUUUGCUUUUUCUUUUCCUAUUAUUCUUGGAUUAUGUCCUUUCAUAAUGUCUCAGAAUUCCUGGAAUUUUUCUCUAUCUUAUUGUCAAUACCUGAUUUUUUCUUUUAUUUCUUGUAUUCUGUUGGUAAGGCUUACUCUAAUGUUCCUGUUCUCUUUCAUAAAUUUCACAUUUCCAGAAUUCCUCAUUUGGGGUGUCUGUUCUGAUUAUAUUUACACUUUCAUGACUUGAUUUAAUUCUACCUCUUGUUUGAGUUUUGUAGAUUUUUAAUGGUUAAUGAUGUCCUCUUUAAGGUCCACGAUUGUAUUUAUAAUAUUUAUGAUACCUAUUCUCAAAUCCUUAUCUUGUGCUUCGGUCAAAUGACAUUUCUCAGGGACUAGUGUAGUAGUGUUGUAUGAUUAAGACUAGAUAAUUUGGGAACAUGUAUUAGAAUUCCGACUUUUCAGUUUGAAAACUCAUUGCAGUGAUAGUUAAGACAUUAUAAUACUAAGUAUUCAUUAGAAGGGAGUUGAGAGUUAACACAUAAAGCUAUUUAUCUAUGAUGAGCUGGGUUUCUUCUUUGUCUUUUCCUUUUUGAAGUUCUGGUAAUUAAAUCCAGGAUUUUCAUGUUAUGCUACAUACUCCUCAUAUGGCCAACUUAAUUUCUACAGGGAGACAGUGAUACUGUCCUUGAGUAACUAUACAUAUCCCAGGAAAAUACUGUAUACACAAGCACAUGCAGACACACUGUGGACUCAGCAGAAUUAAAUAUUUGGUCAAAGAAAUAGGAAAAGAAUUAAGGGAUGCCAAAAGAGAUGGAUUUUAUCAAAUGUGUUACAUGGGGAGCUGGAAGGUAUUGGUUGGUUUAAAUGAGAUAUUUCCUACAUGGGAUCAAGCAUUUAAAUACUUGAUCCCUAGCUGGUGGUGCAGUUUGAAAAGGUUAAGGGGAGUUGCACCUUGUGGGAGAAUGUGGUUUGGUUUCAAAAGUUUAAAGCCUCACACCACUCCAGUCUACUCUCUAUUUUAUAUUUGCAUCUGAUGAUAUGAGUUUUCUGCUUCUUCUACAGCUUCCACUACUACAUGCUGUUUAUGCUUCUACUAUGUGCUUUUAGCCCUAUGGCAACUUAAGCAAAUAUAGAGUCUUCUUAAGCUGCAGUCGGUCAUGAUGUUUUCAUAUCAACUGACAAAAAACAAAUAUAAUCAGUGAGCUAAUGCUGGAAAGAACGUGAUUUUGGAGAAAAAAGGAAGAAUGUUUUGUUGAAGAGCUUAAAAAGCUAUUCAGAAUGUUCCUUGAGCCUUUCAUGUAUGGAUUGUUGAUGAAUCGAUUGGAACUGGAUACCCAUGGUUGCUAGGAAUGAAACCUACAUAUGACCUGGACAGCAGGUCUCUGAAUAGAUCCAGAGAAGUAAGUAUUGCCUUCAUUUUUAACAUAGGCCUUCCAUGAAAAAGCAGCAUGUCCAAAAGGACAAUAUCCUCUGUGGGAGAUCAGAGCUCCAGCCUUGAGUGCAAUGAUUUUUAGCUAUGUAACCUUGAAAAGCAUUUUUGUCUUUGACCACAAUCUCUUUAUGUAUAUAUUGAGAAGUCUAGAUUAGAUCAUUUUCUUUGAGCAUACUCCAAGAUUCAGUAUUUUACUAUAAAUGAAUUAAAUCUAUAAAAACAGUCAAAACUUAUAAGAAUGCACAGUGAUAGGAGAGUUUAGGAAGAAGUCUACUGCAAAUAGCAUAUAGGCAUUCUCAUGAAAGAAGAGGCUGGUGCCAAUGGUUGGUUGGCUGGCGAUCUUGACUCUACAAGAUAAUCUCUAGUGUCUCACAAAAGGUGGGUUUGGAAAGACAGUUCAGCGGGUAAAAGUGCUUGUAGUGUAAACAUAGCAACCUGAGCUCAGAAUGGAUAUAAAAUGGAUAUACGUAAAGUAUGAACAUCUAAUCAUUUUGCUCUUUUCUUCUGAUAUGCAGUGUCCCUGUAAUUUCCUUUAUACAAGAGUCUUCCCAGUUCAAGAGCCUCCUUGCAUGCCAGCUUCAGUGGAUACCUUCAAACAGUGAAUUGCUUCUCAUGUUUCAGUUUCAGGGUAGCAUGGGUCCAGUUGUAACAGAAAAUCUACAGUAGUUUAAACAGGGAUAGAUUAAUGUAAAUACAUUCAGAUGUAUAAAUAUAUAUACAUAUAGAUACAUAUAGAUGUUGACAAAAGCACCUCUAUAAUAUAAGUAAACACUGUUUUCCUUAUGACUGGGGAUAUGAUACUUAGAGAACGAAAGACUUGGAAGUAGUCGAGUGGCCACUGGAGGAGUAUAGACCACAUACCAGACAACAGAGACAAUUACAGUAAGAUGGGAUUGCUAGGUAAACCACUGUUUAGCCUCUAGAGAUAAGGAGGAGAAUGUGAUGAGCAUUCAGUAGCGAGUGUGCAAUGUGUUGGGCAGCUAACAAUGAUGGAAGACUUUAAAGCCUGAAGGCCACGAGAAGUAGAAGGAAGAUUUUUUAGAGGAAUGUUUUCUGUCUCUGUAAACCUGGAAAAGACAUGUGUAUAUUCAGAUCAUGCAGCAGUGCUGAUCCACAGUGCUGAGGAAAGGCUAUUUCAAGGUCAAAGAGGAACAGAAGUCUGAACCUGCAAGCAGGAAAUACCUGAUGUGAUGUCAUAAUUAACCAACUCGCUCUGUCUUAUACCCCACCAGAGAUCAGAAGAUUCCUCUCCUUUCUGCAAGUUCUUAGAGCUACAACUGCCAGCAAACUUACCAGUACACUCACAAUGAAAUAUAAAGACAGCAAAGAAUCUUUGUUCCCCACAAAACCUACAUUGAAAUGGGUAGUCAGAAGUAAGUGAUAACACACAGAACUAACACACUGACUUUAUGUUCAACUUUGACUAUUUUUCAGGGCAUACACAUUAAUCUUCUUCCUAGUUUUUCAGUUUUUUUAAACUUGUAAUUUGUAUUUUAAUUUUUCUUUGUUACCUUUACUUCUGGGAUUCUCUCAUACAGAUUUCCAGAAAACUGCAUUGUUCACAGAAGUACAGGCAGAUGCUGAAAAUGGUUUUUGAAUGAAUAUUAAAUAUAUCUCUUAUAUUGACCACUGAACUGACAUGAAUAAGAAAUGUCCUUUGUCAACUCAACUAUUAGAACAAUCUGUGCUACUUGUAUAAUGUUUAAGUGUGUAUGUUUUCAGGUCUGACCAUUCAGUAGUAGAUAACCAACUGGUAACUUUUUACAAACUAAGGAAGUCUUUCACCCACUCUCAACAUUCCUUAGGUUAUGUUCUUUGUCUAGGGCAGUGAUUGAAAGGAAAAGUAUUGGUUCAGGACCCUAAAAAACCACAUUCUCAGCACAAAGAAGAUUCAUUUGCCCCAGAUGGACAGAGACAUGGAAUAAGAGACAAGUAUAAGAGAUAGAGGAUGAGGGAGAAGGGAAUAGGGAAAGGGAGCAGGGAUAUCUGUCCAGUAAGGAGUCUGCCUAAGGAUACAGAGGACAAAGGUGUGGCACAAAGGAAAACAGCAGGUUGUAAAAGUGCAAGGGGAAAUGCUACAUUAGGAUGAGAUGUUUAAUUAGGGCAUGUUAAACAUGAGCCAAAGGGCUUUUGAUUGCUGGACUUCAAUAUUUAGCCCACUGAGCCUUGGUAGCCAGCCUCAGGAGGAGAAAGUGGUCAAAUAAAGGAAUAGACAUUUCUGGCUAGCUUCGGAAAUGUAAUCUAAAGGCUUUCAGCCAGGCAGAAGGAAUGGGAGAGAGAGGCAAGGUUUGCUAGGGCCAUGCUUGCCACAUGGUGCUCGAACUGGCCAAAAUUGCUUCAACCUUCCUAAUGCCCUUCCAUGGUCCUUUGGUAUAGUCCCUUAUGUUCUGGCAACCCACAACCAUAAAAUUAGAUUCGUUGGUACUUAAUAACAGUAAUAUUGCCUUUUUUGGUAUGAAUUUGCUAUUGUUCUGAUGGUCUUAGGCAACCCCUGUAAAAGGGUUGUUUGACCCUUAAUCACUGGGUCUCAAGGCCUCCUGAGUUUUUUGUUUUCCGUGUUGGCAUGUGCUAUUCUUGUUCAGUUCAUAUCUAGGCAGCCAUGUUAGUGAGACUAGAAGCAAGGAUUUUUAAUAACCAGUGUGCUAGAGGGCAUUAAUGUGAUAUGUUGGCCAAGAGUCUGGUUGCUUUGAGCCCAAGUCUUACAGUCUUGCCUGAGGGCAAAUUAAAAUCAUGAACUAAUUACUUUAGAAGAGCAAAUUUCAAGCCUAAAUAACACUAAUUUCUAUGACAUGGUUAUUACUAAUUUUCUUUAUAAAAGUCUACAAUGAAAAGGACAAGUAGGUCAAAAAGACAUGUAAAAAUGAUGUUUUUGAGGGAAAAAUGGUACCAGGACGUUUAAUGUUAUAGAUAAGGCCUAUACUGAAAAAGAGGCAGCUGUUGCUAAGGUGGUUAACAUAGUUAAGAAGAGGCCUCCUGGUUUUCACUGAAACAAACAAGGCCCAACUACAUUUUCUACUAAUGAAAGAAGAAGACCUAAGGAACUGGCUAUUCCUACAAAGCAUUAUAUUUUUUAAAACAGCUGCUGCUAAUACAUUUGUUGUGUACCAGGGGCUGUCCAAAGCUGGAACCUGAACAUGAUGAACAUGGUGGUGCCAUCUAUAUGGUACAAACUUCAGAGGCCCAGAAACUUUAAGAGAGAGGAAGACAUAAACUGUUCUUUCUUAGUUUCAGAGAGCCAUAAGGCCCACUAAUGUAUGGCAAAGCAGUCUCUGUAUGAAGGUUCCAGCAAGGCAGAAAGCCACGAGAGACCAUUACAUGAAGCAGUGUCAACACUAGUAGAGACCUCAAAAUACUGUGAGUCCAGACCCAUGGGAUAUCUGUCAAGAAGAGCUGCAUACCGGGAGUGGAAGUACUCUAGAGAGAGAUGUGUGUUGCAGACAGAAAAGCUGGAAGGGUGGAACCAUCACUUAGAAACAGACUACCUGACAUUGGAUAUGGAGCUACAACACCUGAUGAUUUUCCUGCUGGGCUUCGGUCUUGCUUUGUCAACUAUUUCCUCACUGUAUCCUUGUUCCUCCUUUUGGCAUGGUACUGUAAAUUUUGGUAUUAUAUGAUGAAAAUAUUUUGAUUUUAUAGUGAGAGGAUUUAACCCACUACAUUUUAGAACAGGCAGCCAUUUUAGGCCUUAAAUUUCAGUUUCCAAAAGAAGUAGGAAAGGUUCCUUAGGAGAACCACAGACAAUGGGUCCUUAGUCAAUAGUGGCCCUGACAUUUGGCCUAGAGGGACGAGGAGCUGAAGCUGAGUCAGCUCCUGGGACAAUGUGGCCAAGAGUGAUAACAAUAUCAUUCCUGGAAUUCUUCAAGGUCUCAUCAAAUAUAAUAGAACUAAUAUAGCAACCAAUCAAAACAGCAAUAACAUCCCUGCUGCACUCUUGGCCAAUCAUAUUAGAGGUUACCUAACUUUUCUAGAAAAGUCCCCAACCCUAUGUGAAAGGAGUCUGAGGGUUUUUCUUGUCACCAUUUUGUAUGAAUGGCUGACCCCUGCAUACUGAUUACAUCUGCAUAAUAAGCACUUUUUGUUUUUGGAUAUUACUUGCAUCUUGGGUCUUCCUUCAGUGAUUCUAGGACCCUUAGAAUAAGACACUACAGUUAAGACAUCACCUUAAGUAUCAUAAGACUUUGGGCUUUUAAACAAUGCUAGGGCUAAGAAAGACUAUGGGGUCUUUUGAAAUUGGAUUGAAUGAAUUUUACACUUGAGUAUGGCCCUGAGCCUAUAAGGCCCAAGUAAUGAAAUGUGGUAGUUUUAAUGUGAAUUAUUCCUCCUUGGUCCAUGGUUCAUUGUGUUGUUUGAAAGGUUGUGAAAUCUCUACCAGGUACAGUGUCCCUAGAGAUAGCAUGUCAUUGGGGCUGGGCUUUGAAAGUUAAUAGCCUUGUCUCACUUCCAGCUUAUUUUCUGCUCUCUCCACGUCACUGGAGGAGUUAUCUUUUAGCUUCCUUUUCCUGUCAUGAUGUCUACUGCUUACUGUUGUUUCUCCUCACCGUAAUGGACUCUAAUCCAUCUGGAACCAGUAGGUUUAUUGGAAACUCUUUAUUCUGUAAGCAACUUUAGGUCAUUGUGUUUUGUCACAGAAAUAGAAAACUAACCAACAUAACCUUAAGGAACGUAUCUCACUUAGAGCAGGCUCUAAAUGUCUUAUAUCCAUCCCUGUUUGAUGGGAAGACAGAAUAGACAAAAAGAACCAAAAUGAAGCCCAGAGGCCUGUUUCAGCUUAGGUUUCUAGCAUACUUUCUAUUUGGAACCAAAGAAGACUAUACAGUUUUAGAUACUUCUUACUUCUCAAAAGAAAAUUAGUAGUUUGUUCAAAUAUUACCUUGAGUCUUAAUGACUUGAUGAUAACUGUUGACUUGGAAGUAUGUGGUAUGUGUGUGACCACCUGAGAGAGGAUUCUGAAACACUGCACAAAGGAAUGUGCAACUUCAUCAUCAUUAAUCAAAAGUGAUCAAAUCCUGUGCUCAACAGCAGUUGAUACGCACUCUUUUUUUUUUUUUAAUUAACUUGAGUAUUUCUUGUAUACAUUUCGAGUGUUAUUCCCUUUCCUGGUUUCCGGGCAAACAUCCCCCUCCCUCCUCCCCUUCUUUACAGGUGUUCCCCUCCCCAUCCUCCCCCCCAUUGCUGCCCU